RNAcentral lists this transfer RNA (64 nucleotides) under Promethis valgipes. Its description in RNAcentral is "tRNA-Phe". The record is from RNAcentral. Lineage: Eukaryota; Metazoa; Arthropoda; Insecta; Coleoptera; Tenebrionidae.
ACUUAAAUAGCUUAUAUAGAGCACAACAUUGAAGAUGUUGGGGAGAUAUACUUAUCUUUAAGUA